GACGAACGCUGGCGGCGUGCUUAACACAUGCAAGUCGGACGGUGAACGAGGGAGCUUGCUCCCUCCGGAUCAGUGGCGAACGGGUGAGUAACACGUGAGCAAUCUGCCCCGAACUCUGGGAUAAGCGUUGGAAACGACGUCUAAUACCGGAUACGACGCGGGAGGGCAUCCUCUCCGCGUGGAAAGAACUUCGGUUCGGGAUGAGCUCGCGGCCUAUCAGCUUGUUGGUGAGGUAACGGCUCACCAAGGCGACGACGGGUAGCCGGCCUGAGAGGGUGACCGGCCACACUGGGACUGAGAAACGGCCCAGACUCCUACGGGAGGCAGCAGUGGGGAAUAUUGCACAAUGGGCGCAAGCCUGAUGCAGCAACGCCGCGUGAGGGAAGACGGCCUUCGGGUUGUAAACCUCUUUUAGCAGGGAAGAAGCGAAAGUGACGGUACCUGCAGAAAAAGCACCGGCUAACUACGUG
This 470-nucleotide ribosomal RNA is filed under the name uncultured bacterium. Its description in RNAcentral is "partial 16S ribosomal RNA". It matches the Rfam family "Bacterial small subunit ribosomal RNA", at positions 28 to 507 of the family's 1533-position model. The record is from RNAcentral.